GGAGAAGGUGGCGCACGAUACUUUGAUGAAAAUAGUGCUCACGACCUCAUUCAUCAGGGAGACAAAGCAACUUGGGGAAUCACUUCUCUUGUGAAGAACCGCAAUGAAUUUUUUAUUGACAAUGGCAAAUUAGCGAAUCUCGAACUAAGUUAUUUUGUAAGCGCCUGCUCAAAUUAUUUAGUUUCGCAUGCUGAAAGAGAUUUUCUUGUUGAGUCAUACAGUCCAUACAGAUUCGCGCGGUAAUGCGGAUUUUAUCAAAUUCCUCCACAGGAACUCGGGGCAGAUGUUCGUUCCACGAAUCAUGACUUGAGUCGAAUACUCUGACGCACGGCCAUUCGCAGUAAAACAGAGUCAAAGGUACUUUUUCCUAACUAUCCCUUGAACGCUAA
This 389-nucleotide long non-coding RNA is filed under the name Coffea arabica (coffee). RNAcentral describes it as "long non-coding RNA (CARA_LNC007357)". Lineage: Eukaryota; Viridiplantae; Streptophyta; Magnoliopsida; Gentianales; Rubiaceae. The record is from RNAcentral.